This 952-nucleotide non-coding RNA is filed under the name Omobranchus zebra. Its description in RNAcentral is "partial 12S ribosomal RNA". It matches the Rfam family "Bacterial small subunit ribosomal RNA". The record is from RNAcentral. Lineage: Eukaryota; Metazoa; Chordata; Actinopteri; Blenniiformes; Blenniidae.
CAAAGGCUUGGUCCUGACUUUGCUGUCAACUCUAGCUGAACUUACACAUGCAAGUCUCCGCACCCCUGUGAGAAUGCCCAUAACUCCUCACCCAGGAGUAAGGAGCAGGUAUCAGGCACGCCCAGACGGCAGCCCACAACACCUUGUUAAGCCACACCCCCAAGGGUCCACAGCAGUGAUCAAUAUUAAGCACAUGAGUGAAAACUUGACUUAGUUAAAGCUUAGAGGGCCGGUAAAACUCGUGCCAGCCACCGCGGUUAUACGAGAGGCCCAAGCUGACAGCCAUCGGCGUAAAGCGUGGUUAAAAUAAUAAAAGAAUAAAGCCGAAUGCUUCCUCAACUGUUAUACGUUCUCGGAAGCGAGAAGAUCCUUAACGAAAGUAGCUUUAAUACUAUUGAACCCACGAAAGCUAAGACACAAACUGGGAUUAGAUACCCCACUAUGCUCAGCCCUAAACUCCAAUAACUUUCUUACAAGAAAUAUGCGCCAGGGAACUACAAGCAUUAGCUUAAAACCCAAAGGACUUGGCGGUGCUUAAUAACCCCCUAGAGGAGCCUGUUCUAGAACCGAUAACCCUCGUUAAACCUCACCCCUCCUUGUUCAUCCCGCCUAUAUACCGCCGUCGUCAGCUUACCCUGUGAAGGUAAUAAAGUAAGCACAAUCAGUACAACCCAAAACGUCAGGUCGAGGUGUAGCAUAUGAAGGGGGAAGAAAUGGGCUACAUUUCCUGCUUACAGGAUAUUACGAAUUGUGUGCUGAAAUACACACUAUGAAGGAGGAUUUAGUAGUAAGUAAGAAGCAGAGUGUCUUACUGAAACCGGCCCUUAAGCGCGCACACACCGCCCGUCAUUCUCCCCGAACCAAACACAUUCUUAACUUAAAGCUCAUAUACGGGUAAAGGGGAGGCAAGUCGUAACAUGGUAAGUGUACCGGAAGGUGUACUUGGAAAAAC